CAGCGACGCCGCGUGAGGGAUGACGGCCUUCGGGUUGUAAACCUCUUUCAGUAGGGAAGAAGCGAAAGUGACGGUACCUGCAGAANAAGCGCCGGCUAACUACGUGCCAGCAGCCGCGGUAAUACGUAGGGCGCAAGCGUUAUCCGGAAUUAUUGGGCGUAAAGAGCUCGUAGGCGGUUUGUCGCGUCUGCCGUGAAAGYCCGGGGCUCAACUCCGGAUCUGCGGUGGGUACGGGCAGACUAGAGUGAUGUAGRGGAGACUGGAAUUCCUGGUGUAGCGGUGAAAUGCGCAGAUAUCARGAGGAACACCGAUGGCGAAGGCAGGUCUCUGGGCAUUAACUGACGCUGAGGAGCSAAAGCWUGGGGAGC
RNAcentral lists this ribosomal RNA (368 nucleotides) under uncultured bacterium. Its description in RNAcentral is "bacterial SSU rRNA". It matches the Rfam family "Bacterial small subunit ribosomal RNA", at positions 389 to 769 of the family's 1533-position model. The record is from RNAcentral.